UCCCAGACUCCUACGGGAGGCAGCAGUGAGGAAUAUUGGUCAAUGGGCGAGAGCCUGAACCAGCCAAGUCGCGUGAGGGAGUACUGCCCUAUGGGUUGUAAACCUCUUUUGUCGGGGAGCAAAAGCCGGACGUGUCCGGCUGUGAGAGUACCCGAAGAAAAAGCAUCGGCUAACUCCGUGCCAGCAGCCGCGGUAAUACGUAGGUGGCAAGCGUUGUCCGGAUUUACUGGGUGUAAAGGGCGUGUAGCCGGGAAGGCAAGUCAGAUGUGAAAUCCGGAGGCUCAACCUCCGAAUUGCAUUUGAAACUGUUUUUCUUGAGUACUGGAGAGGCAGACGGAAUUCCUUGUGUAGCGGUGAAAUGCGUAGAUAUAAGGAGGAACACCAUUGGCGAAGGCGGUCUGCUGGACAGCAACUGACGGUGAGGCGCGAAAGCGUGGGGAGCAAACAGGAUUAGAUACCCCCGUA
This 465-nucleotide ribosomal RNA is filed under the name uncultured bacterium. RNAcentral's name for it is "bacterial SSU rRNA". It matches the Rfam family "Bacterial small subunit ribosomal RNA", at positions 329 to 792 of the family's 1533-position model. The record is from RNAcentral.